This 435-nucleotide ribosomal RNA is filed under the name Populus deltoides. The record is from RNAcentral. Lineage: Eukaryota; Viridiplantae; Streptophyta; Magnoliopsida; Malpighiales; Salicaceae.
GGGAAGUCCUCGUGUUGCACCCCUUCUUUGUGCUCGCUUCUCCAUCUUGUCAGCCCCUUUGUCUUUCUUUCUUCCUUUUCUCUCCCCCGCCUCCCCUUCCUGCCCCGCAAUCGAUAGGGCGGGGCUAGAGGCCGGAGGCCAUUAGUCUUGUUCAGAAUAUCGUUUCGCUUCAAGAAACGAAAGGUCGACACCUAAUUCCACCAAGAAUUUUGUUAUGAACAGCAAAAACCUAUUUUUUUAAAAAAAAAACCAAAUUAAGUAACAAACAAAACGAAUAAAAAUCCAACGGUUGGAUCGUACCUUACGGCCCUCUUGAGCCGCUUCGCGUCGGUGCCUGAACUGCCUGGGAGCCUCCCAUUGCUCCCCGAUCCUCCUCUUCGAAGCGCUUAUAGCAAUUGCGUGAGCAUGGACUAACGGGUGCGAUCAUACCAGCAC